UACGUAGGGCGCAAGCGUUGUCCGGAAUUAUUGGGCGUAAAGAGCUCGUAGGCGGCCUGUUGCGUCCGCUGUGAAAUCCCGGGGCUUAACCCCGGGCGUGCAGUGGAUACGGGCAGGCUGGAGGCAGGCAGGGGAGAACGGAAUUCCCGGUGUAGCGGUGAAAUGCGCAGAUAUCGGGAGGAACACCGGUGGCGAAGGCGGGUCUCUGGGCCGUAACUGACGCUGAGACGCGAAAGCGUGGGGAGCAAACAGG
RNAcentral lists this ribosomal RNA (253 nucleotides) under uncultured bacterium. RNAcentral's name for it is "partial 16S ribosomal RNA". It matches the Rfam family "Bacterial small subunit ribosomal RNA", at positions 524 to 776 of the family's 1533-position model. The record is from RNAcentral.